Molecule: long non-coding RNA, 1504 nt
Filed under: Bos grunniens (domestic yak)
Lineage: Eukaryota; Metazoa; Chordata; Mammalia; Artiodactyla; Bovidae
Description: lncRNA (ENSBGRG00000001738.1)
Source: RNAcentral
GCUCGACCCUGUACCGACACUGUCCCCAGACUCAGUUCUUUCUGCUUCUCUCCUCUCUCCACUUUGCUAGUCAAAGGAUUUCCUAGUAAUAUUUUUCACCAGGUGCAAGAGCCUUGUGCUUCCCUGGUGGCUGAGAGAGUAAAGAAUCCGCUUGCCAAGCAGGAGACGCGGAUUCAAUCUUGGAGUCGAGAAGAUCCCCUGGAGAAGGGAAUGGCAAUCCACUCCAGUAUUCUUGCCUGGGGAAUUCCAAGGACGGAGGAGCCUGGUGAGCUACAGUCCAUGGAGUCGCAAAGAGUCAGACACGACUUAACGACUAGACAACAAGAGCCCCACUGCACACUCCUCGCAGUAUGGAAGAGGACGUUGGGCUUCUUAGCCUGGUCUUCCUUCCUGCCUCACUCCGACAUCAAUGUCUGAGGCCACGUACCUCCUGUUAAGGCUCCAAUCAGUACUUCUCCCCUGGCUGCAGGUUCGCAUCACCUGGGAACUUCAGAAUCGGCCCCUGGCAGCCACGCCCCCUCGAGAUCCUGCUCUGAUUGGUCUGGGCCCUGGAGGUUGUGGGCGUGUUGAGAGACCUCCAAGUGGCUGGGAGGGUCCUCGUGCGUAGCCAUUGCUCUGUCCUUUGGCAAGUUCUCCGCGGUCAGCUUAUGCCUUUCUUCUCAUUCCUGAAACCUGUUUCUUAGUCCGGAUAGCCCUCUAACCUUCUCUUCCCCACGUUCUCGUCCCUGUGAGUACCCAGCUCUAAGCUCGUGGACAGAACUCGUGGUCCUCUUCCCCGCCUUCACUGUUUGGGGGACCACUUCUGUGCCAGCUUCGAGCCCGCUCUGUCCCACAGAUUGACUUGUGAGUUAGUCCUCACGCUUUACACGGUGAAAUUUUGGACCACGUUUUAUUUCUCUUGGUAGUCCAAGCUUCUGACGGUGCCCGGGAAGACCCUGUGCUUGGUGACUGGGAAUGUCGACGAACGACUGAAUGGACAGCCAGACUCCAUGUUGCUGAGAUCUCCGAGCCUUUCCGAAAAGCCGUGAGCAGCGUCCUGAGGUACAUGUCCUGGGCCUGGGAGGGAGGAGGGGCACCCCCGAGCAGGAUUUGAGGGCCAGUUUUCUCCAUCUUCCUUCACAGCUGCAUAAAAAUCUCUUACUCCUAGGAUGAACAAGUCAUGCCUCAAGUUUUACUUUUAGAAACUCUGCUUGAAGCAAAGAUUUAGAAAUCAUAAAAGCUAGCAUUUACUGGGGACUUACCAUGUGUUGGUGAUAUAUGCAAUCUCAUUUAAUCAUCCAAGCAGCCCCGUGUUUAUCAGCCCUGAUUUACGGGUCAGGAAACAGAGGCUCCUAGAUGCUGCCUUAUGUGGCAAUGACUGCUUAGACUCAUGAACAUCUGGUCUCCUCUUCCUGGAUUCCUAGUCAGACCACAUUGUCUAAGUGUCCUUUGCAGUAGGAAGGUCCACGGAACCCCUCAUGGAAUGUGAGUGGAGGGGAUAAGUAUACCUCCAAGUGUGGCCCAU